GACGAACGCUGGCGGCGUGCUUAACACAUGCAAGUCGAACGGAGCUAUUUAUUUCGGUAAAUCGCUUAGUGGCAAACGGGUGAGAAACGCGUAGGCAACCUGCCCUCAGGAUGGGGACAACGGCUCGAAAGAGCCGCUAAUACCGAAUGACGUAACUCUUCCACAUGGAAGAGAUACUAAAGAUGGGUCAAACCAUCGCCUAAGGAUGGGCCUGCGUCUGAUUAGCCAGUUGGUGAGGUAACGGCUCACCAAAGCGACGAUCAGUAGCCGGUCUGAGAGGAUGAACGGCCACAAUGGGACUGAGACACGGCCCAUACUCCUACGGGAGGCAGCAGUGGGGAAUCUUCCGCAAUGGGCGAAAGCCUGACGGAGCAACGCCGCGUGAGUGAAGAAGGUCUUCGGAUCGUAAAGCUCUGUUGUCGGGGACGAAAGGGUAGACGAGGUAAUGCGUUUACUAAGACGGUACCCGACGAGGAAGCCACGGC
RNAcentral lists this ribosomal RNA (485 nucleotides) under Veillonellaceae bacterium oral taxon 155. RNAcentral describes it as "bacterial SSU rRNA". It matches the Rfam family "Bacterial small subunit ribosomal RNA", at positions 28 to 497 of the family's 1533-position model. The record is from RNAcentral. Lineage: Bacteria; Bacillati; Bacillota; Negativicutes; Veillonellales; Veillonellaceae.